This 27-nucleotide non-coding RNA is filed under the name Mus musculus (house mouse). The record is from RNAcentral. Lineage: Eukaryota; Metazoa; Chordata; Mammalia; Rodentia; Muridae.
CAGAUAAUCAUGUAUUAGUUCUGUUGC